This is a long non-coding RNA of Lolium perenne, 2665 nucleotides long. RefSeq lists it as uncharacterized. The record is from RefSeq and is a predicted model, not a curated record. NCBI's taxonomy places the organism in Eukaryota, Viridiplantae, Streptophyta, Magnoliopsida, Poales, Poaceae.
ACCCCUGCCGCGGAACGGCCGCCGCCGCCCUCACCCCCUGUUGCACGGCUGGCUGGCGUAGGGGACGCCCGACCCCUUCCCAGCAUCUCGACCGUCUCAGGCCAACGGCGCCGCUUCCUAUUUGGUGAAGUUCACAUCUCCUGCAAUUAGUUUUUCCAAUUUUGAAUUAUUUUGUUAACUGAAUUUUGAAGUUCACAAAUGGAAAAAUGUGUAGUUCAGAUAUAGGUAUUGAUCAUUUGCAUCGAUUGAUUCAUUGGAUUGAAACAGAAAAUAGAAGUUCACCUCAGUCCACACAUGAUCUUUACUUGCUUUUGUUAUGGAAAUUCGUUUUGUCCACUGAUUUCGGUUAAAGCACACAUAAGAGUACCCACAGCGCCUAGACGCUAAUGUAGACGCUUAUCGAGUUAGUUGGUCAUGCAGCCAAGCGCCGGCAGCCUAGGGAGCUGUCUUUUCCACUAGUUGUUGAAGCGCCACUCUUAAUCUUGCGCUGAUGCCUGAAAAACGGCAGGGAACUAGGUAGAAUGGUAGGGAUUUUAUUCGUAGCGUCUACCUAUAACUACAAGCUUCCCAUUGUAGAUGCUCUAAGAAAGUUCAACAUAAAAAAACAUCACUGUUCUUGAUAGAAGUUAAGAACAACACACGAAGCAGCAGGCCGCUUCAUCAGUGAGCAGGUAGCUCAAUGAAAACACAUAAACAUCUGCGGGUAAAAGAUCACAUCAGAUAGCACUUGUCAAGUUUUUUUUGUCGGUGGAGUUCGCUUCAUCCGUCGCAGGAGUUCACCAUUUUUAAUUGCCAAAAAUUUUAAAAUUCAUGCACGAGCAAGAAAAGUUCACAUUUUUUUACCACGAAGUUCACUACAUCAUCCUUGGGGAUCGCUGCUCUUAAUUGUGAGAAGCUCAAAUAGGCUAGUAAGGAAGUUCACUUUCCUGUUAAAAAAAGAUAGCAGAAAAUGCCCUCGGUGCACAUGUUAGUUUUAGGAAGUUCAUUCAUUCGGUUUAGACAGUGCACUUGUUAUUUGUUUCCAUCUUGACAUUAAAUUUUUAAUCGAAGUUCUGGUCUAUUGUCCGCAAAGUUCAUUCCGAGUUAAUUUCAUCCCUAAAAACUAAAGUACACUCUGCAAACCACGACGGUUUAGUGCUGUCAAUCUGUUUCAACUAGCAAAAAUGUAGACUGAUCAAUUGAUCUUGGCCAAUGAAACAAAGAUAACAGUGGACAUAUGUUUACUCAUAAAUUUGGCCAAUUCGUUUUCUUUUGUUGCAGGUUCAAUUCAUAUGCACUUGAAAGUUCACAGUUUUUAUAUGUAAAAGUUACAGAGAUUACAUACUCAGACAAACUGCAACUCACAAAAUUAUUGUUAGUAGUGGUCAGAUUCAUAUUACUAGCAAAAAUCACAGUGCUCAUGCUUGCUUUUGUGCUAUUUCAGUUGUGUAAUCCGAAAAUCUUGAGUAGACUGUAGUGCAUCGCGUAUUAAGUUAGUGCAUCACGUAUUCUGAAGUUAGUGCAUCGGGUAUUCUGAAGUUAGUGAGUUAACUUCUCAAAAACUUUCAAAAAUAUUUCCUAGGCGCACUACUCUGACCAGACGCCCAUCGACACGAACAACACUGCCUCUUACCCUUGUCAUGGACUGGCCCUCAUCACGGCUCCAGGAAAAGAAACAACCUCAUUGCAAUCUCUGAAUUUUCUGAGGUUCAGUUCAUCUGCGUGAAUAUCUUCUUCAGUUUAUCGCUGUGAAGUUCAGGAAUGCUUUGUGGUCUGGUUGGUGCGCAGAUAAAUUCUUGGAUGAUUUGCAUUUUCGAAUACCAAAAUAGGGUAGAAAUCGUCAUUGUCUAGAUGAGAAGUUCAAUUUUCAUUGUCGGUCUGUUCAUCACACUAAAAAGGCACUUCUUUCGUACUGGAUUCGUGUGCAGCCGAGGUUCCAUUCUUCUUCUGCUACUGGGAGUGAUGACAACACUUGGAGCUCCAUUUGGAUUGAUGAAUUGAAAAAGAAACGAAACAGAAGGACCACUGUGCAGCAAGGUCGGUGAGCAGCAGGCUGGUAUUCAUUGUCCAUCUGGUGGAUUCCAGGAGGUGUUCAAUUGGGGGAUCCUAAUAUCCCAGGCCUCUUCUCAUACUUGCGACCUCAUCUACUGGCGUGUACCUGCUCUUCGGCGUGGAGUGGACGAGAGACUCUCUUCCUGGUCCUCCUCUGAAAUGCCAGCGGAGCAUAUACAUCUGGACCUCCACUGCCAUCCUCCUACAACGUCGAGGAUCAGACAAAGUUCACCGACACCGCCACAUGGAGUCCACCGAUGGAGUCGAAAAAGUUCACAGGCGCCUAAUUGCUGUCUUUGGAUUAUAUAUAACAUAUGCUCGUGCAGGUGUAUUGCAUGAAUUUUUAGUGAAGAAGUACAUGCAUAUGUUGAUGUCAAGUAAAGUUAAGAGAGAGAAAGCAAGAGCGCGAAGAUUAAAUAGCAUGAUUGAAAGUUCAGAGAUGCCUCAUCAAAAUUUUGCACUAUUCUGUAUGUCUUUUUCUCCCAAUCGAGGCCUGGAGAAAAUGUAUCCAGUGUAGUGUUGACAAAAAUGUAUUUUUGAUUUAUCAUGUGUAACUUCACUUGAUGUAUCCCUGCUCUGAACUUCACUUUGCCUCGCUCUGAAGUUCACUUUGGACCCAUAUAAAGUACACUAU